AGUGAACGCUGGCGGUAGGCCUAACACAUGCAAGUCGAACGGCAGCACAGUAAGAGCUUGCUCUUACGGGUGGCGAGUGGCGGACGGGUGAGGAAUACAUCGGAAUCUACUUUUUCGUGGGGGAUAACGUAGGGAAACUUACGCUAAUACCGCAUACGACCUACGGGUGAAAGCAGGGGAUCUUCGGACCUUGCGCGAUUGAAUGAGCCGAUGUCGGAUUAGCUAGUUGGCGGGGUAAAGGCCCACCAAGGCGACGAUACGUAGCUGGUGUGAGAGGAUGGUCGGCCACACUGGAGCUGGAACACGGACCAGACUCCUGCGGGAGGCAGCAGUGGGGAAUGUUAGACAAUGGGCGCAAGCCUGGUCCAGCCAUACCGCGUGGGUGAAGGAGGCCUUCGGGUUGUAAAGCCCUUUUGUUGGGAAAGAAAAGCAGCAGGUUAAUACCCCGCUGUUCUGACGGUACCCAAAGAAUAAGCACCGGCUAACUUCGUG
Molecule: ribosomal RNA, 492 nt
Filed under: uncultured bacterium
Lineage: Bacteria
Description: partial 16S ribosomal RNA
Rfam family: Bacterial small subunit ribosomal RNA
Source: RNAcentral